This 237-nucleotide ribosomal RNA is filed under the name uncultured bacterium. RNAcentral describes it as "partial 16S ribosomal RNA". It matches the Rfam family "Bacterial small subunit ribosomal RNA", at positions 28 to 265 of the family's 1533-position model. The record is from RNAcentral.
GACGAACGCUGGCGGCGUGCUUAACACAUGCAAGUCGAGCGGUAAGGCCCUUUCGGGGGUACGACGAGCGGCGAACGGGUGAGUAACACGUGGGUGACCUGCCCUCAGCUCUGGGAUAAGCCUGGGAAACCGGGUCUAAUACUGGAUAUGACUCCAUGACGCAUGUUGUGGGGUGGAAAGCCUUGUGCGGCUGAGGAUGGGCCCGCGGCCUAUCAGCUUGUUGGUGGGGUGANGGCC